UACGUAGGUGGCGAGCGUUGUCCGGAUUUACUGGGCGUAAAGGGAGCGUAGGUGGACUUUUAAGUGAGAUGUGAAAUACCCGGGCUCAACUUGGGUGCUGCAUUUCAAACUGGAAGUCUAGAGUGCAGGAGAGGAGAAUGGAAUUCCUAGUGUAGCGGUGAAAUGCGUAGAGAUUAGGAAGAACACCAGUGGCGAAGGCGAUUCUCUGGACUGUAACUGACGCUGAGGCUCGAAAGCGUGGGGAGCAAACAGGAUUAGAUACCCCCGUAGU
Molecule: ribosomal RNA, 271 nt
Filed under: uncultured prokaryote
Description: partial 16S ribosomal RNA
Rfam family: Bacterial small subunit ribosomal RNA
Source: RNAcentral